UGGCGGACGGGUGAGUAAUGUCUGGGAAACUGCCUGACGGAGGGGGAUAACUACUGGAAACGGUAGCUAAUACCGCAUAACGUCGCAAGACCAAAGAGGGGGACCUUCGGGCCUCUUGCCAUCGGAUGUGCCCAGAUGGGAUUAGCUAGUAGGUGGGGUAAAGGCUCACCUAGGCGACGAUCCCUAGCUGGUCUGAGAGGAUGACCAGCCACACUGGAACUGAGACACGGUCCAG
RNAcentral lists this ribosomal RNA (235 nucleotides) under uncultured bacterium. RNAcentral describes it as "partial 16S ribosomal RNA". It matches the Rfam family "Bacterial small subunit ribosomal RNA", at positions 96 to 334 of the family's 1533-position model. The record is from RNAcentral.